ACUUUUUGUAAACUGACACUACAAUUUAUGUCCCUGGAUAAAAGAGAUCGAAGUUGACACAUAGUGUUCCUGAACAUCUAACUCACUGUACGUCUCAAGCUCGUUUGGUUCGCAUUUAAAUCUAACGUUAACCGUAUCAACUGAUUAUUCGCUCUAAACCUCUGAAUAACGUACAAAACAAAAAGAUAAGAGGGAAGACAUCACAC
RNAcentral lists this long non-coding RNA (206 nucleotides) under Mytilus galloprovincialis (Mediterranean mussel). The record is from RNAcentral. Lineage: Eukaryota; Metazoa; Mollusca; Bivalvia; Mytilida; Mytilidae.